This 254-nucleotide ribosomal RNA is filed under the name uncultured bacterium. RNAcentral describes it as "partial 16S ribosomal RNA". It matches the Rfam family "Bacterial small subunit ribosomal RNA", at positions 524 to 776 of the family's 1533-position model. The record is from RNAcentral.
UACAGAGGUCUCAAGCGUUGUCCGGAUUUACUGGGCGUAAAGGGCGCGUAGGCGGCAAUUCAAGUCAGCUGUGAAAUCUCCGGGCUUAACUCGGAACGGUCAGCUGAUACUGCUUUGCUAGAGUGCAGAAGGGGCAAUCGGAAUUCUUGGUGUAGCGGUGAAAUGCGUAGAUAUCAAGAGGAACACCUGAGGUGAAGACGGGUUGCUGGGCUGACACUGACGCUGAGUGCGCGAAAGCUAGGGUAGCAAACGGG